GUUCUUUUAUUAAAGAAGAAAAAAUGAUGGAAAAAUCAUUCUGACGGUAUUUAAUGAAUAAGCCCCGGCUAACUAUGUGCCAGCAGCUGCGGUAAUACAUGGGGGGCAAGCGUUAUCCGGAUUUAUUGGGCGUAAAGGGUGCGUAGGCGGUUAAAUAAGUCUAUGGUAUAAGUUCAACGCUUAACGUUGUGAUGCUAUAGAAACUGUUUGACUAGAGUUGGAUAGAGGCAAGUGGAAUUCCAUGUGUAGCGGUAAAAUGCGUAAAUAUAUGGAGGAACACCAGUAGCGAAGGCGGCUUGCUGGGUCUUAACUGACGCUGAGGCACGAAAGCGUGGGGAGCAAACAGGAUUAGAUACCCUGGUAGUCCACGCCGUAAACGAUGAGUACUAAGUGUUGGGUUAAACCAGUGCUGAAGUUAACACAUUAAGUACUCCGCCUGAGUAGUACGUACGCAAGUAUGAAACUUAAAGGAAUUGACGGGACUCCGCACAAGCGGUGGAUCAUGUUGUUUAAUUCGAAGAUACACGAAAAACCUUACCAGGUCUUGACAUACUCUGCAAAGCUAUAGAAAUAUAGUGGAGGUUAUCAGGGAUACAGGUGGUGCAUGGUUGUCGUCAGCUCGUGUCGUGAGAUGUUGGGUUAAGUCCCGCAACGAGCGCAACCCUUAUCACUAGUUUACCAUCAUUUAGUUGGGCACUUUAGUGAGACUGCCAAUGAUAAAUUGGAGGAAGGUGGGGAUUACGUCAAAUCAUCAUGCCCCU
This 761-nucleotide ribosomal RNA is filed under the name Candidatus Phytoplasma prunorum. RNAcentral describes it as "bacterial SSU rRNA". It matches the Rfam family "Bacterial small subunit ribosomal RNA", at positions 430 to 1202 of the family's 1533-position model. The record is from RNAcentral. Lineage: Bacteria; Bacillati; Mycoplasmatota; Mollicutes; Acholeplasmatales; Acholeplasmataceae.